GCAUAAUAAAUCGCCCUUUAAUUGUGGGCUAGUAUGAACGGAUAAACGAAGGCUUAGCUGUCUCAACUAUAAAAAUAAAAAUUGGCCUUUAGGUGAAAAGACCUAAAUAUAAUUAGAGGACAAAAAGACCCCGUAGAGCUUUAUAUUUUAUCAACUUCGUUCUUUCACUAUGUGUAAAAAACCAUUUUUGUUAAAAAUUUUUAGCUGGGGCGGCUAUGGAACAAAAAACUUCCACAAACAAAUAAAGAUAUACUAAUCUUAUAAAUUAAUGAUCCUAAUUUAGAUCAAAGAAAAUAGCUACCUCGGGGAUAACAGAUUAAUCCCUUUUGAGAGUUCACAUUGACAAAGGAUUUUGAUACCUCGAUGUUGGCUUAGGGCCCCCAGAGGGUCAGCAGCAGCCCUCUAUGGUAGGUUUGUUCAACCUUUAAAGCCCU
This 434-nucleotide ribosomal RNA is filed under the name Terebellides sp. ZMBN 116397. RNAcentral's name for it is "partial 16S ribosomal RNA". It matches the Rfam family "Bacterial large subunit ribosomal RNA", at positions 1956 to 2597 of the family's 2925-position model. RNAcentral also lists the same sequence under 2 other names. Lineage: Eukaryota; Metazoa; Annelida; Polychaeta; Terebellida; Trichobranchidae. The record is from RNAcentral.